This 30-nucleotide non-coding RNA is filed under the name Rattus norvegicus (Norway rat). The record is from RNAcentral. Lineage: Eukaryota; Metazoa; Chordata; Mammalia; Rodentia; Muridae.
UAAACCUUUCAGCUCAAGAAUUCCUGUUUA